RNAcentral lists this ribosomal RNA (590 nucleotides) under uncultured bacterium. RNAcentral's name for it is "bacterial SSU rRNA". It matches the Rfam family "Bacterial small subunit ribosomal RNA", at positions 338 to 950 of the family's 1533-position model. The record is from RNAcentral.
CCUACGGGAGGCAGCAGUGGGGAAUAUUGGGCAAUGGGCGAAAGCCUGAUCCAGCAAUGCCGCGUGAGUGAUGAAGGCCUUAGGGUUGUAAAGCUCUUUUACCAGGGAUGAUAAUGACAGUACCUGGAGAAUAAGCUCCGGCUAACUCCGUGCCAGCAGCCGCGGUAAUACGGAGGGAGCUAGCGUUGUUCGGAAUUACUGGGCGUAAAGCGUACGUAGGCGGUUAUUCAAGUCAGAGGUGAAAGCCUGGAGCUCAACUCCAGAACUGCCUUUGAAACUAGAUAGCUAGAAUCUUGGAGAGGUGAGUGGAAUUCCGAGUGUAGAGGUGAAAUUCGUAGAUAUUCGGAAGAACACCAGUGGCGAAGGCGACUCACUGGACAAGUAUUGACGCUGAGGUACGAAAGCGUGGGGAGCAAACAGGAUUAGAUACCCUGGUAGUCCACGCCGUAAACGAUGAUAACCUAGCUGUUCGGGCUCUACGAGCUUGNGUGCGCNGCUACGCAUAGUUAUCGCCGUGGAGGUACGGUCGCGAGAUAAACGUUAAAGUAAGUAGACGCGUGAGAGUGCGACGGACGACGACGAGGGAGAGG